GAUGAACGCUGGCGGCGUGCUUAACACAUGCAAGUCGAACGGAAAGGCCCAAGCUUUCUUGGUUUCUCGAGUGGCGAACGGGUGAGUAACACGUGUGUGAUCUCCCCCUCACUUCGUGAUAAGCCUGGGAAACUGGGUCUAAUACCGGAUAUGAUAUUUGUUUGCAUGCCAUUGUGGAAAGUUUUUUCGUGGUGGGGUGAGCUCUCGGGCUAUCCGCUUUUUGUUGGGGUAAUGGCCUACCAAGGCGUCACCGGGUAGCCGGUCUGUGGGGGUGUACGGCGACACUGGGACUGAGAGAAGGCCCAGAUUGCGAAGGGAGGGAGAAGGGGGGAAUACUGAAGAAGGGGCGCAAGGUGGAUGCAGCGAGGCCGCGUGGGGGAAGACGGCCUUAGGGUUGUAAAAUACAUGCGUAAGGGACGAAGCAUUAUGUGACGGUACCUAGAGAAGAAGCACCGGCUAACUACGUG
This 467-nucleotide ribosomal RNA is filed under the name uncultured bacterium. RNAcentral's name for it is "partial 16S ribosomal RNA". It matches the Rfam family "Bacterial small subunit ribosomal RNA", at positions 28 to 507 of the family's 1533-position model. The record is from RNAcentral.